Molecule: long non-coding RNA, 1045 nt
Filed under: Vulpes vulpes (red fox)
Lineage: Eukaryota; Metazoa; Chordata; Mammalia; Carnivora; Canidae
Description: lncRNA (ENSVVUG00000012336.1)
Source: RNAcentral
AUGUCCCUGCUGCUUUUUCAAAUAAAAAAAUCAUUUUCGAAAACCCUAAAAGAUGCUGGGCUGUUCUCUCCCUUUGUGGUUGGUCUCCCCACUUCAAGAAAACCAUUCUGUACAGCUCCCUCCCUUUGUUGUUAUUCAGAAAGUCUGAGAUGCUGGGCCCAUUUCCUCACAGCUAUGAGCAUCCUGGCUCUGGUUUUACAGAAGUUGGUUGCUGACAAAUGACAGUUGAAGGCCAUGUAUAUUUGCCGUAAGAAAACAAGCUGGAAAUAGGCCAUAUAGUUGGCAAAAUAUAUUGGAUUUCUCUUCAGAUCACCACGCCCAGAACUCUGCAAGUACUAAGUGUGAAGAACUGGUUUCUUUCUUCUUCUUCUUCUUCUGAUGAUGAUGAUGAUGUCUGUGGUACUUUAUGUUCAUGGCCUUGCAAAUGACACUUCCACAUUUAGAGAAAACAUUACAGUAGACGAAUAGGUCCAACGUUCUAAUUUUAACAAAUACUGUUAUUCUGUCAGAUAAAUUCUGCAGUAAAACUACAGUCUUAUUGUUAACCAAAUGGGGUUGAAACAAUUAAUCUCUUUAAUUUGGCAUAGCUCCUAUGCUCAUGACCUUUAGAGACCAAGUCCCAUUUUUCUCAGAAUGUGAAGGACAAGAGAUGUAAAUUCACAUGUUUUCUCCUCUGAUUAUUAUGCUGCCCAGUAGGACCUGCCGGGAAGUAGAUAGCUUAUUUGCCCUUCCUCCUACCUAAUUUGAAAUGUCCAAACAUCAAAGGGUGAAUACGAUGCUUUAAGCAUUUCUGGUCACAAAAAAAUGUGUUUGCUUGAAGCCCACUGUUGAGACAGUUUUAUCACCAGAAUAAUUAAUGUUUUAGCCAGGACGCUCAUUCCAUGUUGCUUCUGGCUGUGAAUUUUGAUUAGAUGUUAAGAGAAUAGGAUUUCAUUAGCUACUCACCAGAGAUGUUGUUAGAGAUUCAAUUGCCAUGAAACCAAAUAAGAUACUUUCUGGCUGAACGUGAUUGCCCUGGGUUUGUUUGUUGCCCUUUUUGGCCCAG